This is a non-coding RNA of Marmota monax (woodchuck), 486 nucleotides long. NCBI's taxonomy places the organism in Eukaryota, Metazoa, Chordata, Mammalia, Rodentia, Sciuridae. The record is from the annotation of a RefSeq genome assembly.
AUGAGGCUGCUGGGUCUUGUCCUGUGCCUGGUCACAGGUUCUCAAGGUGUCCUGUGCCAGGUGCAGCUGCAGGAGUCAGGACCUGGCCUGACGAAGCCCUCACAGACCCUGUCCCUCACCUGUGCUGUCUCUGGUUACUCCAUCACCAGUAACUACUGCUGGAAGUGGAUCCGUCAGUCAUCAGGAAAGGGGCUGGAGUGGAUAGGCCGCAUAUGUUAUAAUGAUAACACUUACUACAGCUCUACCCUCAAGAGCCGAGUGUCCAUCUCCAGAGACACAUCCAAGAACCAGUUCUCCCUGCAGCUGAGCUCCCUGACUACCCAGGGCACAGCCACCUAUUACUGUGCCAGAGCCACUUUGCGGGGAGCUCAGUUGGCUCUGCUGCACCAGGGUGAGCCAGCAGAGGGCCGUACCUGGGGCUCAGGAGAGGACAGGCCCCAGGUGGAUGCCCACCUGCAGGAGGACCCUCCUCAGGCAGCACAAUGA